CAGCAGCCGCGGGAAUACGAAGGGUGCAAGCGUUACUCGGAAUUACUGGGCGUAAAGCGUGCGUAGGUGGUGGUUUAAGUCCGUUGUGAAAGCCCUGGGCUCAACCUGGGAAUUGCAGUGGAUACUGGGUCACUAGAGUGCGGUAGAGGAUAGUGGAAUUUCCGGUGUAGCAGUGAAAUGCGUAGAGAUCGGAAGGAACAUCUGUGGCGAAGGCGACUAUCUGGGCCAACACUGACACUGAGGCACGAAAGCGUGGGGAGCAAACAGGAUUAGAUACCCCAGUAGUUCCUGUCUCUUAUCA
This 301-nucleotide ribosomal RNA is filed under the name uncultured bacterium. Its description in RNAcentral is "partial 16S ribosomal RNA". It matches the Rfam family "Bacterial small subunit ribosomal RNA", at positions 509 to 809 of the family's 1533-position model. The record is from RNAcentral.